RNAcentral lists this ribosomal RNA (253 nucleotides) under uncultured bacterium. Its description in RNAcentral is "partial 16S ribosomal RNA". It matches the Rfam family "Bacterial small subunit ribosomal RNA", at positions 524 to 776 of the family's 1533-position model. The record is from RNAcentral.
UACGUAGGCAGCAAGCGUUGUUCGGAUUUACUGGGCGUAAAGGGUGUGUAGGCGGUUCUUUAAGUUUGGUGUGAAAUCUCCCGGCUCAACUGGGAGGGUGCGCCGAAUACUGAGGGACUAGAGUACGGGAGAGGAAAGUGGAAUUCCUGGUGUAGCGGUGAAAUGCGUAGAGAUCAGGAAGAACAUCGGUGGCGAAGGCGCUCUGCUGGACCAUAACUGACACUCAGGGACGAAAGCUAGGGGAGCGAAUGGG